This is a non-coding RNA of Thalassophryne amazonica, 1022 nucleotides long. The record is from the annotation of a RefSeq genome assembly. NCBI's taxonomy places the organism in Eukaryota, Metazoa, Chordata, Actinopteri, Batrachoidiformes, Batrachoididae.
CUUACUUAAUCAAUACUCUGAUCAAGUCAUUGAUCAGCAGCAUCAUCAAAGUGAUCAAGUUGCUGUUGGACAGUCGGAGCCACUUUGCAUCAGCAGCAUCACGCUCCAGUGCUCUGAGACACUUUAUAGUCCUGACAGCUGAACACUGGAUGACUGACAGCUGUCAAUCAACACCAACAUGACUCUGAUCUCCGUCCUCAUCUGGACUCUGCUCUGCUGCUGCUUCACAGAGUCCAAAAUCCAGGUCACAGUGACUCAACCUGAAGCAGUCACAUCUGCUCCAGGAGGCUCCACCACCAUCACAUGUACAACCAGUCACAAUGUUUACCAUGAUUCAUCAUAUCAUUAUUUAUCCUGGUACCAACAGAGAGACGGAGAAACUCCUAAACUCCUCAUUUAUCGUGCGAGCACCCGAGCAUCAGGGACCCCAAACCGUUUUUCAGGCAGUGGAUCAAACUCUGACUUCAGUCUGACCAUCAGUGGAGUCCAGGCUGAAGAUGCUGCAGUUUAUUACUGUCUGGGUCUUUUUGAUUCCAGCAAGUACGAGCUGUUCACGUUUGGUGGAGGAACCAGACUGCAUGUUGGAUCUGGCACCUCUCCCACCCUGACAGUGCUGCCCCCCUCUGGUGAGGAGGUGCAAAAGGGGACGGCCACGCUCGUGUGUCUGGCCAACAAGGGCUUCCCCUCAGACUGGACUCUGGCCUGGAAGGUGGACGGCAGCAGCAGCAACUCAUGGGAGGAGACCAGGAGCCCCGCGGUGCUGGAGGAGGGCGCCCUCUACAGCUGGAGCAGCACCCUGAGGCUCUCUGCAGACCAGUGGAUGAAGGUCAACUCUGUGAGCUGUGAGGCCACUCGGGGCUCCCAGACUGCACUGUCAGAGACACUGAGGAGAGACCAGUGCUCCCAGUCCUGAGCCCACUCACUGGGACUCUGAUACUGGUUUGACCCUCAUCCUGCUCUCACUCUACAAUAUGUGUGUGUUUUGUCUUUUUCAAUCAUCGUUAUGUGGAACAUUUCAACAU